GAGGGUAUGGCUCAGUGGUAGAGUGUGUACUUAGCAUGCAUGAGGUCCUGGACUCAAUCCCCAGUACCUCCA
Molecule: transfer RNA, 72 nt
Filed under: Camelus bactrianus (Bactrian camel)
Lineage: Eukaryota; Metazoa; Chordata; Mammalia; Artiodactyla; Camelidae
Also listed under: 2 other names
Rfam family: tRNA
About the family: Transfer RNA (tRNA) molecules are approximately 80 nucleotides in length. Their secondary structure includes four short double-helical elements and three loops (D, anti-codon, and T loops).
Source: Rfam by way of RNAcentral